RNAcentral lists this ribosomal RNA (279 nucleotides) under uncultured bacterium. RNAcentral's name for it is "partial 16S ribosomal RNA". It matches the Rfam family "Bacterial small subunit ribosomal RNA", at positions 506 to 784 of the family's 1533-position model. The record is from RNAcentral.
UGCCAGCCGCCGCGGUAAUACGGAGGGUGCGAGCGUUAAUCGGAAUUACUGGGCGUAAAGGGCGCGUAGGCGGUUCAGUUAGUCGGGUGUGAAAGCCCCGGGCUUAACCUGGGAAUUGCAUUCGAUACUGCUGGGCUUGAGUGUGGUAGAGGGGAGCGGAAUUCCCGGUGUAGCGGUGAAAUGCGUAGAUAUCGGGAGGAACAUCAGUGGCGAAGGCGGCUUCCUGGACCAACACUGACGCUGAGGCGCGAAAGCGUGGGGAGCAAACAGGAUUAGAUA